CCGUGCAGCUGGGGAGUUAGCGGUGCCCUGUACCUGCAAUCCGCUACAGCAGGAGUGAUGCCGAACCGAGGGCGUUUUGUUGUGGGGCUGCCCCUGAUAAGUGAUGUUGACAUUUGGGUCUUGCGCAACAGGAAUCCGUGAACCGUGUCAGGUCGGGAACGGAGCAGCACUAAGCGGAACCUCCUGUGUGCCGUAAGGUCGCCUGGAUCGAGUUAACUGUCAGGGUAACGUCCAUGGCAUGCGUUCGAAGGGAGGCGCACGG
This 262-nucleotide signal recognition particle RNA is filed under the name Lachnospiraceae bacterium. Its description in RNAcentral is "signal recognition particle sRNA large type". It matches the Rfam family "Bacterial large signal recognition particle RNA". From Rfam's summary of the family: The signal recognition particle (SRP) is a universally conserved ribonucleoprotein involved in the co-translational targeting of proteins to membranes. Archaeal SRP consists of a 7S RNA and homologues of the eukaryotic SRP19 and SRP54 proteins. Lineage: Bacteria; Bacillati; Bacillota; Clostridia; Lachnospirales; Lachnospiraceae. The record is from RNAcentral.